CACAUCUAUGGAGAAUGCCUUUAUACACGCU
Molecule: non-coding RNA, 31 nt
Filed under: Homo sapiens (human)
Lineage: Eukaryota; Metazoa; Chordata; Mammalia; Primates; Hominidae
Source: RNAcentral